RNAcentral lists this ribosomal RNA (873 nucleotides) under uncultured bacterium. RNAcentral's name for it is "bacterial SSU rRNA". It matches the Rfam family "Bacterial small subunit ribosomal RNA", at positions 31 to 895 of the family's 1533-position model. The record is from RNAcentral.
GAACGCUAGCGGCAGGCCUAAUACAUGCAAGUCGAACGGGAUCCAGGUGUUAGCUUGCUAACAUCUGGUGAGAGUGGCGCACGGGUGCGUAACGCGUGAGCAACCUACCCAUAUCAGGGGGAUAGCCCGAAGAAAUUCGGAUUAACACCGCAUAAGACUACGAGAUGGCAUCAUCAAGUAGUUAAAUAUUUAUAGGAUAUGGAUGGGCUCGCGUGACAUUAGCUAGUUGGUGAGGUAACGGCUCACCAAGGCGACGAUGUCUAGGGGCUCUGAGAGGAGAAUCCCCCACACUGGUACUGAGACACGGACCAGACUCCUACGGGAGGCAGCAGUAAGGAAUAUUGGUCAAUGGACGGAAGUCUGAACCAGCCAUGCCGCGUGCAGGAUGACUGCCCUAUGGGUUGUAAACUGCUUUUGUCGAGGAAUAAACCUAUCUACGUGUAGAUAGCUGAAUGUACUCGAAGAAUAAGGAUCGGCUAACUCCGUGCCAGCAGCCGCGGUAAUACGGAGGAUCCGAGCGUUAUCCGGAUUUAUUGGGUUUAAAGGGUGCGUAGGCGGCACUUUAAGUCAGGGGUGAAAGACGGCAGCUUAACUGUCGCAGUGCCUUUGAUACUGAAGUGCUUGAAUGCGGUUGAAGACGGCGGAAUGAGACAAGUAGCGGUGAAAUGCAUAGAUAUGUCUCAGAACACCGAUUGCGAAGGCAGCUGUCUAAGCCGUUAUUGACGCUGAUGCACGAAAGCGUGGGGAUCGAACAGGAUUAGAUACCCUGGUAGUCCACGCCCUAAACGAUGAUAACUCGAUGUUUGCGAUAUACCGUAAGCGUCCAAGCGAAAGCGUUAAGUUAUCCACCUGGGGAGGUACGCCCGCAAGGGG